UACGUAGGGUGCAAGCGUUGUCCGGAAUUAUUGGGCGUAAAGAGCUCGUAGGCGGUUUGUCGCGUCGGCUGUGAAAGCCCGGAGCUCAACUCCGGGUCUGCAGUCGAUACGGGGCAGACUUGAGUGUUGCAGGGGAGACUGGAAUUCCUGGUGUAGCGGUGAAAUGCGCAGAUAUCAGGAGGAACACCGGUGGCGAAGGCGGGUCUCUGGGCAACAACUGACGCUGAGGAGCGAAAGCGUGGGGAGCGAACAGG
This 254-nucleotide ribosomal RNA is filed under the name uncultured bacterium. RNAcentral's name for it is "partial 16S ribosomal RNA". It matches the Rfam family "Bacterial small subunit ribosomal RNA", at positions 524 to 776 of the family's 1533-position model. The record is from RNAcentral.